Molecule: long non-coding RNA, 288 nt
Organism: Apis dorsata (giant honeybee)
Lineage: Eukaryota; Metazoa; Arthropoda; Insecta; Hymenoptera; Apidae
Exons: 2
Source: RefSeq, a predicted model, not a curated record
AUAGAUUCUACAAAAAAAAAUUAUGAAAAAAAAAAUUCUAUAUAUCAUAAAACAGAAAAUACUAAUCUCAUUCAAAUGGAUUCUUAUCCGCUUUUUUAUAAAAAUGGAAUUUUAAGUCGACGACGACUUACUGCAGUAUGUGUUUUAAAAUCAUAAUAGUAUUAAAAAAUAAUACUAAUGCUAAAAAUAAUUAUUUCAGAUACCAAUAAAAAUGCAUAUUCGAACUACAUGUUUGAUUAAUUCACAUAUAUUACCACGUAACAAAUUACCACAAGGAUUACAAGAUUG